CCUACGGGUGGCUGCAGUGGGGAAUAUUGGACAAUGGGCGAAAGCCUGAUCCAGCCAUGCCGCGUGUGUGAAGAAGGCCUUCGGGUUGUAAAGCACUUUCAGCGGGGAAGAAAGCCUUGGGGCUAAUACCCUCGAGGAAGGACAUCACCCACAGAAGAAGCACCGGCUAACUCCGUGCCAGCAGCCGCGGUAAUACGGAGGGUGCGAGCGUUAAUCGGAAUUACUGGGCGUAAAGCGCGCGUAGGCGGUCUGAUAAGCCGGUUGUGAAAGCCCCGGGCUCAACCUGGGAACGGCAUCCGGAACUGUCAGGCUAGAGUGCAGGAGAGGAAGGUAGAAUUCCCGGUGUAGCGGUGAAAUGCGUAGAGAUCGGGAGGAAUACCAGUGGCGAGGGCGGCCUUCUGGACUGACACUGACGCUGAGGUGCGAAAGCGUGGGUAGCAAACAGGAUUAGAUACCCGUGUAGUC
This 465-nucleotide ribosomal RNA is filed under the name Vreelandella stevensii. RNAcentral describes it as "partial 16S ribosomal RNA". It matches the Rfam family "Bacterial small subunit ribosomal RNA", at positions 338 to 795 of the family's 1533-position model. Lineage: Bacteria; Pseudomonadati; Pseudomonadota; Gammaproteobacteria; Oceanospirillales; Halomonadaceae. The record is from RNAcentral.